AGCGGAUUGUCAAUGCCCAAUUAGCAAUCCUAUGGCUAGGAAUGUUUUAGGAAUGAAUCUAAGAGAAAGGUCUCGAUAAUCUAACUCAUUAGAUCACUUAUCUCUUAGAACAAAUACAUUCCUUGGAUUCCCUUAUUGCUUAAACACAUGAUACAAUAAAUAGUGAUUAACAAUAAGAUUUGCCCUCCAUUAAACAUAUAAAAGUUUAACACAACAAGUAUUCCAAAAAGCUAUUACAUCAAAUGAGUGGCUUUGUGGGCAUACUUCCAACAAUCUCCCACUUGCACUC
This 289-nucleotide long non-coding RNA is filed under the name Malus domestica (apple). RNAcentral describes it as "long non-coding RNA (MDOM_LNC012699)". The record is from RNAcentral. Lineage: Eukaryota; Viridiplantae; Streptophyta; Magnoliopsida; Rosales; Rosaceae.